RNAcentral lists this ribosomal RNA (301 nucleotides) under uncultured bacterium. RNAcentral's name for it is "partial 16S ribosomal RNA". It matches the Rfam family "Bacterial small subunit ribosomal RNA", at positions 509 to 807 of the family's 1533-position model. The record is from RNAcentral.
CAGUCGCCGCGGGAAAACGGAGGGAGCCAGCGUUGUUCGGAAUUACUGGGCGUAAGGCGCACGUAGGCGGUUAUUCAAGUCAGAGGUGAAAGCCCGGGGCUCAACCCCGGAACUGCCUUUGAAACUAGACGACUGGAAUCUUGGAGAGGUCAGUGGAAUUCCGAGUGUAGAGGUGAAAUUCGUAGAUAUUCGGAAGAACACCAGUGGCGAAGGCGACUGACUGGACAAGUAUCGACGCUGAGGUGCGAAAGCGUGGGGAGCAAACAGGAUUAGAUACCCCCGUAGUCCCUGUCUCUUAUAC